Molecule: ribosomal RNA, 813 nt
Filed under: Triticum aestivum (bread wheat)
Lineage: Eukaryota; Viridiplantae; Streptophyta; Magnoliopsida; Poales; Poaceae
Description: partial small subunit ribosomal RNA
Source: RNAcentral
AUGCUUGGUUGUCAAACUUCUCAUACCCCUGUUGAUACAGGUUCCAAACUCUCUGCCGACGGUGAUCCUUUCUCUGAUCCUUCUCUUUAUCGUAGUCUUACCGGUGCACUUCAGUAUCUUACUCUCACUCGUCCUGAAAUUUCUUUUGCUGUCCAAAAAGCUUGUUUAUACAUGCAUGAUCCUCGUAUUCCACACUACAAUCAUGUCAAAUAUAUUCUUCGAUAUCUCAAAGGCACACUAGACUUAGGUCUUCAUAUCAACAAAUCCUCUCCCACCUCCUUGACAGCUUACUCUAAUGCAGACUGGGCUGGUUGUCCAGAUACUCAUAGGUCCACAUCAGGAUUUUGUGUUUUUCUUGGUAACAAUUUGGUUUCUUGGUCUUCAAAAAGGCAGGUUAUGGUCUCCCGCUCGUCUGCUGAAGCUGAGUACCGCGCUGUGGCUCAUGCGGUUGCUGAAAUGGUUUGGUUGCGCCAGUUGCUGUCGGAGCUGCACCGUCCUAUUGAGCAAGCUACCAUUGUUUACUGUGAUAAUAUUGCAGCUGUCUACAUGUUAGGGAAUCCGGUUCAACACCGUCGCACCAAGCAUACUGAGAUCGACAUUCAUUUUGUUCGAGAGAAGGUGGCUCUCGGUCAAGUUCGCGUUCUCCACGUGCCUACUUCUGCUCAGUUCGCUGAUAUCUUUACUAAAGGCCUGGCGACUACUCCGUUUCAAGACAUUCGUUUCAGUCUCAACGUCGUCGAGCCUACCGUCGACACUGCGGGGGAUGUUAGAAUACAACUUGUAAUAGGAUUAGGACUCCUACUCGGUUUGUAA